GCAGUUAUGGAGAGUGACAUGCGAGAAUCCGGAGAGGAUCAGGUUUGGAAAAUUGAAGCAUUGCUUCAACCAAGGGCAGCGAAUUGAAGAAAAGGUUUAAAAGGCGGUAAGCUGCUUAUUUUGGGGGACUUGAUUCGGGAAUUGGGGUUUUUAUAGAAAUUUCUUUUGAGUGGAAGUAGGGAAAAAAGUUAGGAGUUGAUCUGGGCCUGACUAGGAGCCUAACAGGGAGAGAGAAAAUUAGUAGUUUUUCUGAACAGAUAAGAGCUUGGGGCAUGUUACCUUUAGAAUUAAAUUGCAGCUUUCUUGAUUGAUUGUGGACUAUGUAUGGAAAAUUUGAAAAGUUAAUCUCAUCUGUAAAUCAUUGAUAGCAUUGACUGCUACAGAUAAAAAUUUGGUGCCUGUAGAGUUUAUACAUGGAUUGGGGGCGACGGUAGCAUGAAAUCUCACUAUUGAACUUUUUUAUUUUGCUGAUAGCUGUGAAGUUGUUGUCAUCAUGCUAUGAACAUAUCUUGGGCAUUUUCCAGUAUAUGAACAUAUAUGAUCCAUACUGCUUGGUGAAAAUGAUUUCUUUUGGCAUCAUUAAUGUAAUUUUUCAUAGUCUUGUAAGCCAUUUUUCAUAAAUUUGAAAGUUAUGUUUCUCUUUAAUAUCAUUGAGAAGAUUUCAUGAACUUGCACGGAUUCAAAUAAAAAAUCACUUCAAAAAGUGACUCACAAAUUGUUUGUUACUAUCUUUUGAGUUUUAAGCAUUAUGACCUCAUUCGAUAUAUGUUAUGUUCCUCCAAGCACAAGAAGACUGGUGUACCUUGUUUCAUUUCUAUUUAUUACCGUCCUAGCCUGUUCUGCUCGUUUUUAUUGAAUCUUCUAUUUGCUAUUCCGCCGCAUUCAUUCUACUUUGCAAGUUUCUGGACUGCUGGCCAGAGGAUAACCAGAGAAUAUUAGAUCCAUCUGUGCAGAUGCCUUGUGAAUGAUAUGUAAAGACGGGUUUUGCUUCAACUGGCAGGAAGUAAGGUGCCUCCUGAAUGAUGUGUAAUGACAGGUUUUGUUUCGACAGGCAGGAAGUAGGGUGUUUUCUUCCUUCUCUGCUCCUGCAGGUUGUCUUGGGAGGUUACAUCUUUCUUUGGGGUUUUUUGUUAUGGUCUUUAUUUCUCUGUUCGUACUUGGGUUUGGAAGAGGUGCCUGGUGUUAUAUUUUAGCCUCCCCCGAAUUAAGAAAUGUGAUGAGUUCUACGUGGGUGUUGUGAUGUCUGUUUGUGGGUGGUUUUGGUCAAGGUGUGUCCUAUUUGAGCUUGUCUUUGUGCAAGUGAGUCGAGAUGAGGUUGUCACCUAUUGUCCAUCGAUGUUAUGCUCUUUCUUGACGGACCUUUUUUUUUCUUCCUAUGACUGUCUAUCCUUUUUGGAAGUUUCAUAUUUGGCCUCAUCAUUGAGGUUGGGAAGGAUUUAAUGUCUGCUGCCGCCUCCGAUCAUCCUGCUUUACGCCCUUGAUCCUUAGGCCCUAGCUCCUCGUUCACAGUUUCCUUGCAGACGUUGUAGUUUCAAUGCCAGUCAUCCAAAAGCUUCAUAAGAAUGGGUUAAAGUUGACAGUUAAUAGCUUUAACGACUACCUUUUAUGGCCGAACUCCUAUUCGAUAUCAACUCUAGCUGCAUCUGCUAGACAUAUAUGUUGUAACACCCCGCUUAUUACCAUGCUAAAAUGUAUUUGGAAAACCUUAUUUACUCAAGUUUUAAGGUCACAUUGAACUCA
Carica papaya (papaya) is the source of this 1740-nucleotide non-coding RNA. NCBI's taxonomy places the organism in Eukaryota, Viridiplantae, Streptophyta, Magnoliopsida, Brassicales, Caricaceae. The record is from RefSeq and is a predicted model, not a curated record.